This 278-nucleotide long non-coding RNA is filed under the name Crocodylus porosus (Australian saltwater crocodile). RNAcentral's name for it is "lncRNA (ENSCPRG00005013738.1)". Lineage: Eukaryota; Metazoa; Chordata; Crocodylia; Crocodylidae. The record is from RNAcentral.
GAAGGAGGAGACUGAUAAUCACUUCAUAUUAUCUGCUGCAGACAUUUGACACUGUCAGUUUUGGCCACCUCUCCAUGCUAUAACAUCCAGCAGAAACCCCGGAGUCAUCUUAUCAGCCUACUCUGCAUUUUUCAUCAUCUGAAAGAGCUGCAAGUAAUGCUUAGUCUACGAACUCUAUGCAUGCGUGUGCAUUUUCCAUCUUCAGUGUAGCAGCUGGAAAGAAAUGUUCCAUGUACUGAUAUUUGUCUGUUUGGGCUUUCAGAGGAACGUGCAAAAAC